This 421-nucleotide ribosomal RNA is filed under the name uncultured Oscillospiraceae bacterium. Its description in RNAcentral is "bacterial SSU rRNA". It matches the Rfam family "Bacterial small subunit ribosomal RNA", at positions 356 to 774 of the family's 1533-position model. Lineage: Bacteria; Bacillati; Bacillota; Clostridia; Eubacteriales; Oscillospiraceae. The record is from RNAcentral.
GGGGAAUAUUGGACAAUGGACGAAAGUCUGAUCCAGCGACGCCGCGUGGAGGAAGAAGUCCUUCGGGAUGUAAACUCAUGAAGCUAACGAAUAAGACGGAAGGGGAACCUUCCGGGAGAAGGUACCUCGAAAACAAGCCACGGCUAACUACGUGCCAGCAGCCGCGGUAAUACGUAGGUGGCAAGCGUUGUCCGGAUUUACUGGGUGUAAAGGGCGCGUAGGCGGGAUAGCAAGUCAGAUGUGAAAUGCCAGGGCUUAACCCUGGAGCUGCAUUUGAAACUGCUGUUCUUGAGUAUCGGAGAGGCAGGCGGAAUUCCUAGUGUAGCGGUGAAAUGCGUAGAUAUAAGGAAGAACACCAGUGGCGAAGGCGGAUUACUGGACGACAACUGACGGUGAGGCGCGAAAGCGUGGGGAGCAAACA